RNAcentral lists this ribosomal RNA (164 nucleotides) under uncultured bacterium. RNAcentral's name for it is "partial 16S rRNA". It matches the Rfam family "Bacterial small subunit ribosomal RNA", at positions 355 to 511 of the family's 1533-position model. The record is from RNAcentral.
UAGGGAAUCUUCGGCAAUGGACGAAAGUCUGACCGAGCGACGCCGCGUGAGUGAAGAAGGUUUUCGGAUCGUAAAACUCUGUUGUUAGAGAAGAACAAGGGUGAGAGUAACUGUUCACCCCUUGACGGUAUCUAACCAGAAAGCCACGGCUAACUACGUGCCCG